AUUGAACGCUGGCGGGAUGCCUUACACAUGCAAGUCGAACGGCAGCACGGGUGCUUGCACCUGGUGGCGAGUGGCGAACGGGUGAGUAAUACAUCGGAACAUGUCCUGUAGUGGGGGAUAGCCCGGCGAAAGCCGGAUUAAUACCGCAUACGAUCUACGGAUGAAAGCGGGGGACCUUCGGGCCUCGCGCUAUAGGGUUGGCCGAUGGCUGAUUAGCUAGUUGGUGGGGUAAAGGCCUACCAAGGCGACGAUCAGUAGCUGGUCUGAGAGGACGACCAGCCACACUGGGACUGAGACACGGCCCAGACUCCUACGGGAGGCAGCAGUGGGGAAUUUUGGACAAUGGGCGAAAGCCUGAUCCAGCAAUGCCGCGUGUGUGAAGAAGGCCUUCGGGUUGUAAAGCACUUUUGUCCGGAAAGAAAUCCUUGGCCCUAAUACGGUCGGGGGAUGACGGUACCGGAAGAAUAAGCACCGGCUAACUACGUG
Molecule: ribosomal RNA, 486 nt
Filed under: uncultured bacterium
Lineage: Bacteria
Description: partial 16S ribosomal RNA
Rfam family: Bacterial small subunit ribosomal RNA
Source: RNAcentral